Long non-coding RNA from Cavia porcellus (domestic guinea pig), 9866 nucleotides. RefSeq lists it as uncharacterized. The record is from RefSeq and is a predicted model, not a curated record. The transcript has 3 exons. Lineage: Eukaryota; Metazoa; Chordata; Mammalia; Rodentia; Caviidae.
GGAGUGGCCCCGCGCCCUCCUGCCACGCCCUCCGCGCUGGCCAGGGAGUCGCGUGCGGAGGAUCGCAGCGCUGUGCAGCGGGCUUGGGAGGCAGCCGCGGGGGUGUGAGAUUGCAAGUCUGCGUGUCUCCGAGCCCCGACCGCGCAGUGGAAACCUUAACAGUAACUCCCUUUCUCUUGGAUAACACCUAUCAGAAACAAUAAUGGCCCAGUAAGUCUCCCCCAAACAGAUACCGAUACAACUGGAUGCCUAACUGAAAGAAAAUAACAGUGACUUUUUCUCAGAGUCAACAGCAGUCACAUCAUUGAUGCCCAAGGAGUACUGGAUUGCCAUUUAGGAACUCCGCUUGGAGGAGCAGUGGUAGUAGGCAAGAAGGAUGGCCACAUGCCCAGUCACCCAGACCUGAGAGACAAGAAUGCACCUAGCCUUCCCAUCAGGAAGGCAAUGCGGACUCUCAAGUGUGGAGGCUACAUGAUGGAACACUUCACCUGGAGACGUGUCUAUUGGUACCGUACCAGUGAGGGUCUCCAGUAUCUCCAUGAUUAUCUCCACAUGCCUCUUGCGAUUGUGCCAGCGCCCUGAGAUGCCGCUAUACUGAGACCAGCAAGCCUCAGCCAAAUCAUCUGGAAGUUGGAGAACAUUAUUUUCUGUUGAGUAAGCUUGUAGCCAGAAAGAAAGAGUAUUAAAUCACUGCCUAGUCACGAAGAGAAGAUCCAUGAGUUCUGAAAAAAUCAAAAUACAGAAAAGUAACUAUAAUAAUUUCAUUGUUUUUGGUAAAAUAGUGAAUAGCACAUUGAAGUCUGUAUAAUUCAUGGAUCUACAUGGAACUUUAUGAGAACAUAUUGAAGGUCAUACAACAGAAAUACAGUGUCUGGCAUGGGGGUAAUUUGGGGAGAUGUGGUAAAGAGGGAAUAUGUGGGUGACAAAAAUAACAACCAUGGUAUUACCAUACCUAUGCAGAAUCAUCUGUCCAUUUGUGUGUAAAGAAUUAUUGAAAGGAUAAUCAGCCUUUAAAUAUUAUGAUGGUAGAGUUUCAGAUAAAUCGAUUUAUACAUUUAUAUAAUGCACAGUUUUUUUGAAAUAAGCAUUUAUUUUUAUGUGAUCAGGAGGAAAGGUAUUUGCAUUGUGAACAAAAAAGCAUAAAACCACAAAAGCAAUAAGGAUUUUAGGAAUAUGUCCUUUAAAUGUUUAACAAGGUCUCUAUAAGUCAGUAAAUAGAGCAUUAUUAAUGGGUAUAGGUCUCAAUGCAAAAAAGAUGGUGAUUCUUUGAAUUAACCUAUAAAUUCAAAGAGAUUCUAAUAAUUAUGUUUACAGAACUUAACAAAUUGGCCCUUGAAGUCACACAGAACUGUAGAAGACCCAAUAUAAAUAAGAUUAUUUUAAAUAAGAAAUCAUCCUAUCAAAUAUGAAAGUGUUAUAAAUCAGCAAUAAUCAAGGCAGUAUAAACAAGUAAUAAACACACAAGUGAGACAGACUGGAGACAACAUAACAGAGUCAUGCAGAGAGCAGGAUAACUCGAGGAGGCAAAUGUGACAUUAUACAUUAGUGAGGAGGAGAAGUUGGCAAAUGAACCUCACCUGGAGCGUCUAUAAAAAUGUGUGACAGGCAGGUGGAUAAUGAAGACCGCCUAGAAAAGAUGCUGGCCGGGCCAGCAGUGGGCUGGGGUACAGCACCCUCCUUGAGGUUUUUCCUCUGAUCUACACUGUUCUGGGCAUGCCACUGCUUACCUCAUCACCACUGUGGGGCACAGAAGAUAUGACAACCAGUGCCACUGGACAUAAGAAGUCUGGUGACACAGAUAUGAUUCACUGAUGGAAGGACAGCUAACCACAGGUACAGACAGUGUCCUGACCCCCAGGUCUAAACCCAAUAUAUAAAAUCAAAUUUUGUAUCCAGCUAUUCAUCAAGCUGGAUUCCUUCUUUUUCUUUGUUUCUGAGGUUGCUGAAGUUUUCCAAACUUCUGCCGGCUCCUGCUUCAUAUCCUUCUGCUGCCCCACAGUCUCAUCCCUCAGCUCUUUCUUCUCUUCUCAGUGUGUUCGGGUCCUGUAAAUACCGUAGAUGUAGCCACCAGCUGGAAGGCAGUGACAGCAACUUUUCCGCUCACGGAGAAAAGGAGACCUGAGCACGUGUGAGUGACUGGUCCGCAGGUGGAGGCAGAGAGAGACAUGAACCACGGAACUCAAGCAGUUCCCAAGUCAAUGGCUAGAAUAAUCCUGACUCAGAGAACAACUGAAUGCCAGUGAAGUCAUGUGCAGAACCCACCACUGUGCCCAGGAAGAAGGAGAGCAAGAGCUCCCACCCCAAGAUGCCAGGCCCAAUCAGACUCAGCAAGAAUGCCUGCAAUCCGAGAGAAACAGGCCUGGAGUCGGAGUUAACCCCAGCUUUGCAGCAGAAUGACCAUUGGAGCAGUUGGGGUGUGAUCACUUAAACUCUGACCAAAAAUUGACUUGGGGAUCACAUAUUCAAUGGCUCAUUAGAAUUUCUAAUCAAAAUUCCCAGUGUACAUGUUAUUGGAUUAACUUUUUGUAUGUUUCUUGAGUUAUUUAUUUUCUUGUACUGUUUCACAUGUAUAUGAGGUGGUAACUUUGUACAAUUGCUCUUCCACUGGCUUUGAUUUAACAGAUACCCAGGUUCCUUCACCUAAAACAUAGAUGAAGAUGGGGGAAAGUAACUCCAAGGACUAGAACAGAAAUGGUAUAAGAUUGCAAUUGUUGAUACCAUUUUAAAGUGAAGUAUUCUUGUGGCAAAACAAAGGGAAAGACUUGAAAUCACAGAAAGUACAACAAAUGAAGAAGCAGUAAAAAAAUACUAGACUAGGAAGCUGAAAAUCUACUCACAGGGAGGCAACAUCCUACUGAAAGUCUUCAUAAACCACAUCCUCUCCUCACUUUCCUAGUUUUCAACUGGUGGUGGCCCCCCUGCCAAUAAAAGGGAAGAGAAUAAAGAGGGGAGCUCGUGUAAUUAACACAAAAGGGAAAUAAACAUAAACAAACACAGCUUUAAGUAGGGUAAUAAGGAAAUAGAAGAUCUCCAAACAUCGCCCACGAUAAGGCUAGCGGACAACGGGAGAAGAAAACAAGUAUCACGUACAGAAACCUAUGAAGAGCUCUUAGAAGGGGUGAAGGAAAUUAAGGGAAAAGAAACAUACCGGAAGCUUGCGGCAGUGAUACUCAACAUGCCCAUGGUGAACAUCAGGGACAUUAAAAAAAAAACUGAACAAGCUAACCAAGACAGCUCAAAACUUGAAUGAGAGGUCAGGUUUGGUGGCACACACCUGAAAUUCCAGCACUAGGAGGACAAGGCAGGAGACUUGCUGUGAGUUCAAGGCCAGCUUGGGCUAUAAGGUGAGGUUAAGGCCAGCCUGAACUGAUAAUGAAACCCUGUCUCAAAAAGACAAAAAGGCUAGGGAUUUAGCUCAGCGUCAUAAGCACCUGCCCUGCAAGUGCACAGUCGUGAGUUUGAUCCCUGGUACCAAAAAAAAAAAAAAAAAAAAAAAGACAAAAAAAUCCCCAAACCUUACCCCUAAAAAUCCCCAUGAAACUCGGAUUACAGAUUCAACAGGAUAUGGAAGUCCUCUACAAGACACCAGAGAAAAUAAAAACAGUGUUUAAUUCAUUCAAGAAAGGACCAAAGUGAAGUCAGAGUAUCAGAUAUUGAGAACAAAAUAAUGGAUUAUAAUAAAGAGCUCAAAGAAGCCACAGAGAAAAUAAGGAAACAGAGAACAUUGUCCAGCAGCUAUUAGAUGACAGAACAAUAACAAAUCUAAUGUGAAGUGGAGUUAGAGAAAAGCCUGAAAACUAUGUUACACAGAUAGAUUCACCAACAUGUUUACAGAAAUUGUUGAAGAAAAAUUUUAAAAUAUAAGAAAAGAUUUUGAAGUGCAAGUAAUAGAUACUUAUAGAACACCAAAAAAUUACAGUGAAAGAUGUUCAUGAGGUAUAUCCUCAUUAAAUUCACAGAUAUCCAGAAAAAAAUUGAAACAGAAUUAUAAAGGCAUCCAUAGAAAAACAAAUAAGCACAUAUAAAGGUAAGUGAUUAGAAUCACCGCAGAUUUCCCAGUACAAACUGUGAUGGCCAGAAGACCUUAGAGUAUUUCAAGUCCUCUAAGCAAAUACUUCUAAUCAAGAUUAAUUUACCCAGCAAACCUCUCAUUCAAAAUAGAUGGAGAAAUACAGUAUUUCCAUGAAAAAUGCUGGCUCGGAAGAUAUAUGAGUGUGGAGUGGUGUGAGCUGAAGGCCUGCACACGAACUCUACCUAGCCAUGCAACCUCAGCACCUCACUUGGGACCUAGUAGGGCCUUGCCCAGCAUUCCCAAAUAGCUGGGGACUUUAGGUAAGUCACUCAGGUCUUGGUUGGACCCCACCCACUGACUCCAGUUGGCAGGGGAACCCCCAGUGCUGAGUAGUGUGAGUGGAAGUCCUGCACAGGAAACUUCCCCAGCUGUUCAGCCUUGACAUGCCGCAGAACCUUCUAGAGUCCUGCCCAGAAAACUCAAGCAGUUGGGGAGCUUCACAAUGCUAUGUGGGUUUUGCUGAAAGUCCACACAGCAUACUCUCUGCGUUGGAGGAGCCUUUGAGUGCCACUAGGGACCUAGUCAGGCCUGUUUAAGGACGCCCACUCACCCGGGGAAACUCCUACAGUAUGGACAAACAUCCUCAGCCCAGGAAGCAAUUGAGACUUUGCAUUAGGCUUCCCCAGGGGAAUACAGGAAAAUAAUAAAAUGGAAGAGCAAAAUGCAAUCUCAAACCAUCAGUCCAUCCCAAAUAAGACUAUAAGACACAGAUAUAGAAGAAAGUGUAAGCCACAUACCGGAAGCUUCUAAAAUGAUAGCAACUGAAACAAAGAAACAACUCCAUGAAGCUGUAAAGGAACUCAAAUAAAAAAUAAUCCCACAAGUAAAAGAAGAUAUAUAUAUAUAAUAAAAGAAAUGCUGAGCACAUCUAAAGAAGAUACAGUUUAAAAAACUGAGGAACCUAGAUUGAUGUACCCUGAAAAACUGUCCUUCAAAAUUAAUGAAGAAAUAAGAUAUUUCCAUGACAAAGAACAGCUGAAGAACUUCAUGAUCACCAAACCAACCCUGCAUAAAAUACUAAAAAAUAUUAUAUAGAGACAUAAAAAUAACUACAACCUCAAGAACACCAACAGAAAAAAACCACUAAACAAGGCAAACAGUUAAACAGAGGGGAAAGGUAAAGAAUUGACAGCAGAAAGAUAACAUGACAAAAAAUAAGUCAAUAUAUAUCAGUUAUAUCCAUUAAUAUGAAUGGCCUCAAUUCACCAAUUAAAAGAAACAGACUGGCAGAAUAGAUCAAGAAACAACAUCCAAACAUAUGUAUACAAGACACCCAUCUAACACAAAAGGAAGUCAGAGACUGAAAGUGAAAGGACAGAAAGCAAUACUUCAUGCAACAGGAAACACCACCACCACCACCACCACCAAUAAAAGCAGGGGUAGCUAUUCUAUUUGCAGACAAUAUGAACUUCAAACCAAGAAUGAGCAAGAGAGAAGAAGGUCACUACAUACUAGUUAGGGGAAAACUUCAAGAGGAAGAGAUAACAAAGAUGUAUGCGCCAAAUAUGGGAGCACCUUGAUUUAUAAAACAAAUAUUAAUAUAAAUAAAAAAUCAAGUAAAUAGUAACAAUUAUAACAGGAGACCUUAACACCCCCUUGACACAAAGACACAGAGCAACUAGACAGAAAAUCAGCAAAGAAAUAACAGAGCUAAAUCAAGCUUGUGAAUAAAUGGACUUAGUAGACAUGCACAGUGUUCCAUCCAACAUUAGAAUAUACAUUCUUCUCAGUUUCACAUGGGACAUUCUCUAAAAUAGACCAUAUACUACACAGAACACACUUAAGUAAAUGCAAAAGAAUUGAAAUUAUCUCAUGCAUGCUAUCUGAUUAUAGUGCCAUGAGACUAGAAAUGACCAAAGAAAAUCUGCAAAAACUCUUUAAACACAUGGAAAUUAAACAAUACACUCCUGAGCAAUCAGUGGGUCACAGAGGAAAUUAAAGAAGAAAUUAAACAAUAUCUACAAGCAAAUGAAAAUACAAACAUAACUUACUGGAACCUGUGGGAUGCAAUGAAAGUAGUCCUCAGAGGGAAACUCAUGUGUUAAAUCCUAUAUCAGCAAAACAGAAUGAACACAAACAACCUGAUGCUACACCUCAAACAUCUAGAAAAAGAAGAGCAAGUCAAGCCCAAAGCCCAAAGAAGGGAAGCAAUUAUAAAGAUCAGAGUAGAAAUCAAUGCAAUAGAGACUGAGAAAAGGAUACAAAGAAUCAAUGAAUUAAAAAGUUGGUCCUUUGAAAGAAUAAAUAAAAUUGAUAAGCCCCUAGAAAACUUUACUUUUAAAAAAGGAAAGAAAAAACUCAAAUUUAUGCAAUAAGGAAUGAAAAGGGCAAAAUCACUACACACCCUAUAGAAAUAGAGAAAACCAUCAAUACCUACUUCAAAAACUUUUACUCUCAUAGGUUUGAUAACACAGAAGAAAUGGACAAAUUCCUAAAAACAUAUGAAUUACCAAAACUGGAUCAAGAAAACAAAAAAUUGCUAAAUAACCCAAUUUCAAUUAAUGCAGUUGAAGAUGUCAACAAAGAAAAGCCAGGUGUUGAUGGGUUCACUACUGAAGUAUACAAGAAAUUUAGGGGAGACUUAAUGCUAACGCUCCUCAAACUUUUCAAUGAAAUUGAAAAGGAAGCAAGUCUUCCUAACUCAUCCAUGGAAGCAAGUAUUACCCUAAUACCAAAACCAGAGAAAGAACCAACCAAAAAAAGAGAACUACAGGCCAAUCUCCCUAAUGAACAUAGAUACUGAAAUACUCAGUUAAAUACUGGCAAACAGAAUGCAGCAAGUCAUCAAGAAGAUUAUACACCAUGACCAAGUGGGAUUCAUCCUAGGAAUGCGGGGAUGGUCCAACAUAUGGUAAUCAAUAAAUGUAAUACCAUAUCAAUAGAGCCAAAGAUAAGAAUCACAGGAUCAUUUCAAUAGAUGCAGAAAAAGCUUUUGAUAAAGUCCAAUACUCAUUCAUGAUAAGAAUCCUAUGGAAAAUGGGAAUAGAUGGUCUUUACCUCAACCUGAUAAAAGCCAUCUAUGACAAACCAAUAGCCAGCAUCAUAUUAAGUGGUCAAAAGUUGAAAGCUUUCACUCUAAAAUCAGGAAUAAGACAAGGAUGUCCAUUCAACAAACUUAUUCAAUAUAGUUCUGGAAACAAUAGCUAGAGCAAUUACAUAGGAGAGAAAAAUAAAAGGAAUAAGGAUAGGAAAGGAAGAAGUUAAAUUAUCACUAUUUUCAGAUGACAUGAUAUUGUACAUAAAAAAAUCCCCAAAAUUCUAUUGAAAGACUUCUAGAUGUAAUAAACAAAUUGUAAUUGGAUACAAACUCAAUACUCAAAUAGCAUUCCUGUACACAAACAACAAACUCACAGAGAAAAAUAAAAGAACCCACACCCUUCACAAUAGCAUCCAAAAAAUGAAAUACUUAGGAAUUAAUCUAACAAAUCUAACAAAAGACAUAGUUGGUGAAAAUUAUAAUACUCUGAAAAAAGAAAUUGAAGAUCUCAGAAAAGGGAAAGAUAUUCCUUGUUCUUAGAUAGGAAGAACAAACAUUGUAAAAAUGGUCAUUCUCCCAAAAUUGUUAUAAAAAUUUAAGUUAAUUCCAAUCAAAACAUCAUUAACAUACCAUACAGAUCUAUAGAAAUCAUUCUUAAAAUUCAUCUGAAACCAGAAAAGGCCUAGGAUAGCAAAGCCAAUUCUGGGCAACAAAGGUAAGGCUAAAGGCAUCACAAUCCCUGACUUGAAGUUAUACUACAAAGCUACUGUAAUAAAAUCAGCAUAGUGCUUGAGUGAAAACAGACCUGAAGAUCGAUGGAAUAGAUUAACAGAUACAACCACAACUACAAACACACUCAGCCACUUCAUAUUUGACAAAGGGGCCAAACAUGUUCACUGGAAGAACGAUAGCCUCUUUAAAAAGUGGUGCUGGAAAAACUGGCUUUUCAUAUGCUGAAAACUGAAACUAGACACGUAUCUAUCACCAUGCACUAAACUAAAGUCAAAAUGGCUCAAAGAUCUAAAUAUUAAAACAGAAACACUAAAUCUGCUGGAAGACAAAGUAUGCAGACAUCUUGAAGACAUAUGGGUAGGCAAAGAAUUCAUGAACAAAAGUCAAAUUGCAUAGGAAGUACUUCCCAGAAUCAACAACCGGGGUCUCAUCUUAUUAAAAAGUUUUUGCAUAUUAAAAGAAAGCUCCAACAGAGUGCAAAGAAAACCCAUGAAUUGGGGGAAAAACAACUUAGUCAACUGUCCCUCAGACAAAGGACUUCUAUCUAGAAUUUAUAAAGCAUUAAAUAAAAUCAGAGCCCUGAAAUUCAAAGACCCAAUCCAAAAAUGGGCAUCUGAGAUGAAUAUUCACUUCUCUGAUGAAGAAAUACAAAUGGCAAAUAAAUACAUGAAAAAAUGUUCAGCAUCUCUGGUCAUUAGAGAAAUGCAAAUUAAAAUCACACUGAGAUUCCAUCUCACUCCAGAAAGAAUGGCCAGGAUCAAGAAAACCACCAAUAGUAAAUCCUGGAGAGGCUGUGGGGAAAAGAAACACUUCUGCACUGUUGGUGGAAGUGUAGACUGGUGCAACCAUUGUGGAGGUCAGCCUGAAGGUUCCUCAAAAAGCUGGGAUUGGAAGUCCCAUUUGUUCUCUGCUAUUCCACAUCUAAGCAUAUUCCCACAACUGAAAACAUCAUACCACAGAGAUAUAUGUGCACCCGUGUUUAUAGCAGCACAAUUUGUAAUAGCCAAAUCUUGGAAACAACCUAAGUACUCAUCAACUAAAGAAUAGAUUUUUUUAAAGGUGUGAUAUUUUUAUAUAUUUGUUGUUUUUGUUUUGCACCAGGGAUCAAACUCAUGACUUAGCGCUUGCCAGAGAGGCGCUUAUGCCACAGAGCCAAAUUCCUGGCACCACUGUGAUAUUUUUAUAUAAUGGAGUGCUACUCAGCUAUAAAGAAGGAUCACAUUGAGGCUUUUAUGGUAAAUGGAUGCAACUUGAGGCCAUAUCAUAAGUGAAAUAAGUCAAAUUCACACAUGUACAUGCCAUAUUGUCUCCCUAGUGUAAGAAGUUAAAAGAGUAAAUGAGAUACAAAAUCUUCACUCAGUACUGUGAAAGUACUAAGAAACUGUUCAAAGGGGAAAAAACAACUCAGGGAAAAGAAGAGAAGGAAGGGAAAAGAAAAAAAGGUAUCAAUUUGUAUAUAUACACUUAAGAUAGCUAAGAUAAUUGUGCUACUAAUUCUGUUAGUUCUUGGAACAAAACAGUUAACAUUCAUAGGAUUAGAUCAAUUUUGCAUGUUUAUAUCUGGUAAUAUGACUGACUCUUUUGAAAAUAAUUAGACAUAAUAAAAACCUUAGUUUGUUCCUACCACCUUGUUUUGAAAGCCUAUAUUGUUAGUGUUUUGGGCUCUUCAUUAUGGUAUCGUUUCUUUUAUUUCUCGUUUUUCUUAUAUUUUGCUUUUCCUUCUAAUGUGGAAAGGAUAGAUAUACAUAUAUAGACUCACACAUGUCUAGAACUUCUAAAGAGUUUACAAGAAUUGAUUUUAUUAUGUGUGAUGGUAUAAACAGCUACUUUGAAGAAAAUGAGACAUAUGGCAGCCAUCACUGAUUUUCCUUUGAUUUUGAAGGCCUGUAAUGCUUUCAUUCUUUUGUUUUGAUUGAUUUUUUACUAUUUUGUUUUGUUUGAAUUCAUUGUGUAUGAGGAUAUGGACAACUAUUUUGAAGAAAACAAGAGACAUUAUGGUAGCCACUGUUGAUUUCCUGUUGUCUUGUUUUGAUUCUGUGUUGCUUGCAUUGCCAUGUUCUGAUCUGCUUUGUUCUGUUUUAUUUU